GGCCGCGGGAAUUCCUUUCAAGGCUAACACAUGCAAGUCGAACGAUGAAGCUCCCCUUUGCUGGGGUGGAUGAGUGGCGAACGGGUGAGUAAUGCGUGAGUGACCUGCCCCCUUCUUCGGGAUAAGCCUUGGAAACGGGGUCUAAUACCGGAUAUUCCCAUCACGGGGCAUCUUGUGGUGGGGAAAGUUUUUUCGGUGGGGGAUGGGCUCGCGUCCUAUCAGCUUGUUGGUGGGGUGAUGGCCUACCAAGGCGUCGACGGGUAGCCGGCCUGAGAGGGUGACCGGCCACACUGGGACUGAGAUACGGCCCAGACUCCUACGGGAGGCAGCAGUGGGGGAUAUUGCACUUUUUGCGCAAGCCUGAUGCAUCGACGCCGCGUGAGGGAUGAAGGCUUUCGGGUUGUAAACCUCUUUUACUAUUGAACAAUGCGCCAUUUUUGUGGUGUUGAGGGUAGGUGGUGAAUAAGCGCCGGCUAACUACU
Molecule: ribosomal RNA, 482 nt
Filed under: uncultured bacterium
Lineage: Bacteria
Description: bacterial SSU rRNA
Rfam family: Bacterial small subunit ribosomal RNA
Source: RNAcentral